GAAGGUAGCAUAAUUAAUUGCCCUUUAAAUGGGGGCUUGUUUGAAUGGUUUGACGAGGUUGUUUUUAACAUGGAGAUUUUUAUUGAAAUUGAUGAUGUGAAUACAGAAUUUACAUUAUUUAAUUAGACGGAAAGACCCUAGGAUCUUUACAUAUUUUGCUUGGGGCAAGUAAAAAUAAUUUAUUUGUUUUUUGACCCUUUAUAAGUUUAUAGGUUUAAGUUACCCUAGGGAUAACAAAGUGAUAGUUUAUUAGAGUUCUUAUCGAUUAAACUGUUUGCUACCUCGAUGUUGACUUGGGUUAAUGUUCUGGCGCAGUAGUCAGAAGUUUUGGUCUGUUCGACCACGAGUACCCCCAUGAGUUGAGUUAAGACCGGCGUGAGC
This 381-nucleotide ribosomal RNA is filed under the name Dibothriocephalus ditremus. RNAcentral describes it as "LSU rRNA". It matches the Rfam family "Bacterial large subunit ribosomal RNA", at positions 1952 to 2626 of the family's 2925-position model. The record is from RNAcentral. Lineage: Eukaryota; Metazoa; Platyhelminthes; Cestoda; Diphyllobothriidea; Diphyllobothriidae.